RNAcentral lists this long non-coding RNA (334 nucleotides) under Capra hircus (goat). RNAcentral describes it as "lncRNA (ENSCHIG00010007662.1)". Lineage: Eukaryota; Metazoa; Chordata; Mammalia; Artiodactyla; Bovidae. The record is from RNAcentral.
AGGCUCUCCAACGCUAACUUAAAUGUUCAUUUUUCCUUCUGAAUAAAUUGCUAGACAUUCUUCUGCUGGACACAGAUAAGGGAAAAAAAAUUGACGCCAACCGACUCUAGCAGAUAACAACAAAUAAUAAUACAACUAUUGUUAUUAUAAUAUAAAAUGCAUAGAGGUGACAAAAUGGAAAAGAAAAGGUAACGUGUGAUUGUGAGAAUCUGGUUAAAUUUUAAUUUUUAAUACCACUUUACUAUUAGUAUUAGCAGUUUUAUUUAAAUAAAGUAGUCUGAAAUAAACCCCAUUAAAAUGAAAUUAAAGAAUUAUUUGCUAUCAAAUAUGCUGG